AACGCACAUUGCGCCCAUUAGUAUUCUAGUGGGCAUGCCUGUUCGAGCGUCAUUUCAACCCUUAAGCCUAGCUUAGUGUUGGGAGUCUACUGAAUAGUAACUUGUUACUUAGUAGUUCCUAAAAAGAAACGGCGGAUCUGCAGUAUCCUCUGAGCGUAGUAAGUUUUUAUCUCGCUUUUGUUAGGUGCUGUGGCUCUUGCCGCUAAACCCCCAAUUUUAAUGGUUGACCUCGGAUCAGGUAGGAAUACCCGCUGAACUUAA
Molecule: unclassified non-coding RNA, 261 nt
Filed under: uncultured fungus
Lineage: Eukaryota; Fungi
Description: sequence contains ITS2
Source: RNAcentral